GACGAACGCUGGCGGCGUGCUUAACACAUGCAAGUCGAACGGUGAAGCGCCUUCCUUUUUGGUGGGUGUGGAUGAGUGGCGAACGGGUGAGUAACACGUGAGUAACCUGCCCCCUUCUUCUGGAUAACCGCAUGAAAGUGUGGCUAAUACGGGAUAUUCUGGGUCUGUCGCAUGAUGGGUCUGGGAAAGAUAUUGUUUCGGUGGGGGAUGGGCUCGCGGCCUAUCAGCUUGUUGGUGGGGUGAUGGCCUACCAAGGCGGUGACGGGUAGCCGGCCUGGGAGGGUGGACGGUCACACUGGGACUGAGACGCGGCCCAGACUCCUACGGGAGGCAGCAGUGGGGAAUAUUGCACAAUGGGCGCAAGCCUGAUGCAGCGACGCCGCGUGAGGGAUGGAGGCCUUCGGGUUGUGAACCUCUUUCGCCAGUGAAGCAGGCCUGCCUCGUUUGUGGGUGGGUUGACGGUAGCUGGAGAAGAAGCGCCGGCUAACUACGUG
RNAcentral lists this ribosomal RNA (494 nucleotides) under uncultured bacterium. Its description in RNAcentral is "partial 16S ribosomal RNA". It matches the Rfam family "Bacterial small subunit ribosomal RNA", at positions 28 to 507 of the family's 1533-position model. The record is from RNAcentral.